AUGAACGCUGGCGGCGUGCCUCAUACAUGCAAGUCGAGCGAACAGACGAGGAGCUUGCUCCUCUGACGUUAGCGGCGGACGGGUGAGUAACACGUGGAUAACCUACCUAUAAGACUGGGAUAACUUCGGGAAACCGGAGCUAAUACCGGAUAAUAUAUUGAACCGCAUGGUUCAAUAGUGAAAGACGGUUUUGCUGUCACUUAUAGAUGGAUCCGCGCCGCAUUAGCUAGUUGGUAAGGUAACGGCUUACCAAGGCAACGAUGCGUAGCCGACCUGAGAGGGGGAUCGGCCACACUGGAACGGAGACACGGUCCAGACUCCUACGGGAGGCAGCAGUAGGGAAUCUUCCGCAAUGGGCGAAAGCCUGACGGAGCAACGCCGCGUGAGUGAUGAAGGUCUUCGGAUCGUAAAACUCUGUUAUUAGGGAAGAACAAAUGUGUAAGUAACUAUGCACGUCUUGACGGUACCUAAUCAGAAAGCCACGGCUAACUACGUG
Molecule: ribosomal RNA, 496 nt
Filed under: uncultured bacterium
Lineage: Bacteria
Description: partial 16S ribosomal RNA
Rfam family: Bacterial small subunit ribosomal RNA
Source: RNAcentral